UACGGGGGGAGCAAGCGUUGUUCGGAUUUACUGGGCGUAAAGGGCGCGUAGGCGGUCAGCACAAGUCAGUUGUGAAAUCUCCGGGCUUAACCCGGAAAGGGCAACUGAUACUGUGCGACUAGAGUGCGGAAGGGGCAACUGGAAUUCUCGGUGUAGCGGUGAAAUGCGUAGAUAUCGAGAGGAACACCUGCGGCGAAGGCGGGUUGCUGGGCCGACACUGACGCUGAUGCGCGAAAGCCAGGGGAGCGAACGGG
RNAcentral lists this ribosomal RNA (254 nucleotides) under uncultured bacterium. RNAcentral describes it as "partial 16S ribosomal RNA". It matches the Rfam family "Bacterial small subunit ribosomal RNA", at positions 524 to 776 of the family's 1533-position model. The record is from RNAcentral.